This 261-nucleotide ribosomal RNA is filed under the name Triticum aestivum (bread wheat). RNAcentral describes it as "partial small subunit ribosomal RNA". Lineage: Eukaryota; Viridiplantae; Streptophyta; Magnoliopsida; Poales; Poaceae. The record is from RNAcentral.
AUGUCGCAGAGGCCGGGGAGGCACCAGAGGAGGGCGUCGCAGAGUGUGUUCUCGCUGCCGGAGAACUUCGCCAGCCUGGAGGACGUGCCGGCGGACGGCGUCGGCGAGCAGCGGAAGCCCGCCGCGGCUGGGGCGGACGCCUCCGAGCAGCAGCCCGCGAGGCCGGCGGGGCGCCACCGCCGGGCAAUGUCGAUGGCCGUGCCCUCCAGGGACCUGGACAUGAUCGUGGAGGACAUGGGAAGCUAUAAGUACGGCGCCUGA